AGUGAACGCCGGCGGUAGGCCUAACACAUGCAAGUCGAACGGCAGCACAGGAGAGCUUGCUCUCUGGGUGGCGAGUGGCGGGCGGGUGAGGAAUACAUCGGAAUCUACUUUUUCGUGGGGGAUAACGUAGGGAAACUUACGCUAAUACCGCAUACGACCUACGGGUGAAGGCAGGGGACCUUCGGGCCUUGCGCGGAUGAAUGAGCCGAUGUCGGAUUAGCUAGUUGGCGGGGUAAAGGCCAACCAAGGCGACGAUCCGUAGCUGGUCUGAGAGGAUGAUCAGCCACACUGGAACUGAGACACGGUCCAGACUCCUACGGGAGGCAGCAGUGGGGAAUAUUGGACAAUGGGCGCAAGCCUGAUCCAGCCAUACCGCGUGGGUGAAGAAGGCCUUCGGGUUGUAAAGCCCUUUUGUUGGGAAAGAAAUCCAGCUGGCUAAUACCCGGUUGGGAUGACGGUACCCAAAGAAUAAGCACCGGCUAACUUCGUGCCAGCCGCCGCCGUAA
Molecule: ribosomal RNA, 506 nt
Filed under: uncultured bacterium
Lineage: Bacteria
Description: partial 16S ribosomal RNA
Rfam family: Bacterial small subunit ribosomal RNA
Source: RNAcentral